GAUGAAGAACGUAGCGAAAUGCGAUAAGUAAUGUGAAUUGCAGAAUUCAGUGAAUCAUCGAAUCUUUGAACGCACAUUGCGCCCGCUAGUAUUCUGGCGGGCAUGCCUGUCCGAGCGUCAUUUCAACCCUCAAGCCCCCGGGCUUGGUGUUGGGGAUCGGCGAGCCUCCGCGCCCGCCGUCCCCUAAAUCUAGUGGCGGUCUCGCUGUAGCUUCCUCUGCGUAGUAGCACACCUCGCACUGGGAAACAGCGCGGCCACGCCGUUAAGCCCCCAACUUCUGAACGUUUGACCUCGGAUCAGGUAGGAAUACCCGCUGAACUUAAGCAUAUCAAUAAGCGGAGGA
RNAcentral lists this unclassified non-coding RNA (343 nucleotides) under soil metagenome. Its description in RNAcentral is "partial contains 5.8S ribosomal RNA, internal transcribed spacer 2, and large subunit ribosomal RNA". The stretch from base 1 to 120 matches the Rfam family "5.8S ribosomal RNA", at positions 35 to 154 of the family's 154-position model. The record is from RNAcentral.